Non-coding RNA from Cherax quadricarinatus, 740 nucleotides. NCBI's taxonomy places the organism in Eukaryota, Metazoa, Arthropoda, Malacostraca, Decapoda, Parastacidae. The record is from RefSeq and is a predicted model, not a curated record.
GUUUGUCAUUUAGUGAACACAGGGGUGUCACAUACUAUUGCGGGGUCCUCACUGACUGGAGGUGUGAGUGGUGACUAGGGAAAAGUGAAUACGAAAGUUUACAAAUAUUUUUUGUGUAAACAUAAACACUGAGACAGGCAUCUUAAGAUAUUUUGUAAUAUUUGUCUAAAAAUUUCACCAUACGAUCCUGAGGUGAGAUGUAAAUUAAAGAAUAACAUAAAAAUCAGCGAGAAAUACAGAUAGGAACUCAUUACGUUGGGUGAAGCAUCAGAGAUAAAAAUCACAGGAACUGUGACUCAUACCACUGAGAGAAAAGUAUUAUAAAGUCACUCGCGACUAGCAAGAACAGAAACGUUGAAUGUUACCAGUGAAACGUUGAACUUCAGCAGUGCAACGUCGAGAGAACUGCGAAAUUAGCACAGAAGAGAUAAGGAGCAGUGAAGGAUGUAGGCAGUGAAAAUAAAUACUUGAGUGGUUAGAGAUAUAGGUGAGAGAGACUGCAGAAACCCACUACCUGUAGCCUCCUGUUCUCCCGCAGCCCACGGCUGCCCAUCAACCAACAUGGGCUACCUGGCUGUCAUCAUCAUGGGAUGUGUGGUAGGAGCGUGUAAUGGGCACCUGGUGACCAACCUGGUGAACAAUGCUGCCCUGCCCACUUGCCCCGCCCUCCUGCACGCCGCCACCCAUCCACCCAGGUUCUCUGCGCCCAUGCCCCCUGACCUACGUGGCAAGUGGCUCUC